GAGUCGGAUCAAUACUGAGGUGAGUUGUGACAUGUGGGGGCGCAGUGUGGGCUUCUGGGCGGCAGAAGCGAAAGGCAGUGUACUGAAUCUGUUUCGAAGCAAUGACCUUUGUUUCUCACUGUUACUAAUUUUUGCUUAGAAAUAUUUUAGUGCGAGAAAUAAGGAUAUAGAGAGAAAAAAAAUGCCAAACCGAAAAAUAUCACGGACCAUCAUUUAUGGUUGUACCAAAAAGAUACAAAUUAUUGCAUCUACGCAGAAGGGCACCAUAUUGGAUACUGCUUCAUUUUCAAAAAAAGGGACCUAAAAGACUUGGUUUAUGUGAAGUGAGGGCUACGGAGAAAUUUGAGAAACAGGCUGGAUGUAGAAUGAAAGUCACCAGAAACACGAGGCCCAUUUGUUUGUUUGGUUUGGCCCAAACAGAUGUCUGUCGCAUCACUAUUCACAGAAUCUGUAGUGUCGUCAGCAUCAUCUUUAUGAAGUGUUCCAGUAGUGUGGCAGUGGUAGCAAAUGACCACAUCUGAAGGACCAUGAUAGCACGUCAUCCCUCCUGAUUGUCGAUGAUACAGUUGCAUAUUUAAUGCAACAGAUAACCGUUCCUGAAUGGGGAGGGGAUCUGGUAUUUGAUGACUAUCUCAUGUGAUUGUUAAGUGAUGGCACAACCAGCCAGUUCUUGUUCUUUGCAUUGCUAUCAGAGGAUCGGUGUCCUGUUAAGAGGCAUAUUAACAUUCUUUACCAUGAUUGGCUCCACACACUCAGGGUUGACAUCUGGUAAACUAAAUACAGCCAAAGCAAGCUAUGGGUAGCAACCCUAGAGAGAAACAUUGAGAGCUGCCCAACACUGUGUUCUGCUGCUGGAGUAGUUGAAACACGGCAAUAUCCUGGAAAUGGAUUGGCAACCUUUUCAUCAAUGGCUUGCUCCCUGGACCAGAGCUGAAUUAUCGUUCUACAUUCAUAGGAAGAUGUAAAAGAAGAAUGGUGUUUGGAGCAAGUGGAUUGACGCUUGUGUCCAGUGUUUCAUAAGCUGUCCAUGUGUCCUUGUGGUGCCAACUAGCUUGUGCAGCCAUUGAGGUCACAGUUGGGAAUGAUGGCACACAAAGAAUUAACUUAUGAUGUUCUUGCCUAAAUGUCCUGGUAAGGUUUAAACUCUUCAGUUUGAAGAGCUACAUUCAGGUGUGUUUGCAUCCUGUGGAUUCCCAAUGACAAACCACGUGAACUGACCCUAUUGUGGUUGGAGGCUGGACUGGCAAACAGACCUUAAUGCUGGAAGCUUGGUUUUCUGUCAGAUCAGUUUGCUGUCAGAUCCCUUUUCCUAAACUGUGUCCUUAUGCAAUAGUGUGUGUGUGUGUGUGUGUGUGUGUGUGUGUGUGUGUGUGUGUGUGUGUGUGUUUUCAGGCAAAACAAAUGCUAGUGGGCAUCUUUGAGUGCAUCUACUGCACAUAGAUUGAAUUGGCUUAUGUACUGCUGCUGGAUAUAGGGACGUUCCAAUACCAGAUUCAAUAAGAUAUUUGGUAUCAAUACCAAUACAUACAGUUAUAUAGGUCUCGUGAUAAUAUAGGAACAAAAGUAUUGAUAUUGGAAAUACAGCAAGGUAUUGAUGGCUUUUUACAUAUUUUUGAGCUUUCCUUCAAGACAAAUGGUUUGGAAUACAGUGCAAAAUAUGGGACAUGCACUGUAUGUACAUGAACUGACCUCAGUAUAAAGUGUAAUAUACACAAAACCAUAACAGUGAAAUUUUCAAAAUUUCAACCAAAGUAGAGGCAUAGAUAUAAAUUUCAUCUAACACACAAAUGCCGUUCUUAAAAACGAAACUAUUUUCGUAGUGAAAAGUUGCAUUUAACAGAAAUAUUCUGUUUUGAUAUGCUGCCUAAAAUAUUUAUUUUUGUUGGUUUUUGGCAAAAAUUUGAUCUCUCUGUUGUGAGAGUGGAGUGCCAGGUUCGUGGUUGGAGGGGUGUUUGUUGUUUCACGAGGCACUGAAGUUGCCAUUUUGAGGAAAUGAAUGCUUGCGUGUUUUCACAAUGUGUGAAAAAAUGGUCUUAUUGUUCUCUCAUUCUGUUAAAGAAUUUGAUUUCAGAGGGUCAUCCUCUUCUGCCAGGAGAAAGGACAAGCUUCUAAUAUAUCCUCCCAAAAUAAGUGUUUUUACGUAUCGUCUUCCUCAUAUUUGCCAGAGGAACUUUCUCCAGAUGAAUAAUGGCUCAAGAAUUAUACUGACUGCAGAUAUGGAAUUUUCUGCUGCAGGUCAAACGGCUCCGACGUUGCAGCAGUGUAACAACUCACUUCUGCUAAAAUAUUAGCACUGUUAAGAGUUGAAAUUGUUCAUUUAUGUGCACAGUUUACCACUGAAAUUAUUUUGAGUAUUGUACUUAACCAAGAACACUGUAAUUUAUUGCUCGAACAGUACACACACAUGGAAGACAAGGUACAAUACAAUUAGCAAUAAGUCAGUGGCCAGCAGAGCCUUGUGCUCCAGCCUAUAUAGACAUUAGUUCCAACAGGUGGUGCAGCCGGCAUGCUGCGCCCACACCUGCUGUCAUAUUAGUAGAUCAAAUGGCCUCUAGCGGCCCAAAAAAAAAAAAAAAACAAAACAUCCAGUAUGUUUAUUCAUUUCUCUCCCAAGAUUUCCAUAACAACCCACUUGUUCGGCUGAAAUAACACAGUAGUAGUCAAAGCUCUUGCUCUUACUGGCACAUGUCAGUUUCACUCUUCAAGUGUCAUCCAGAAAAGCAAAGCUCAGGAUUUUCUUCAUGUGUAGGAAUGUUUAGAAGAUACAGUAGGUUGAUUUCUAACUUAUUUUCAUGUCUAUAAUUACACUUUUUGUAUUUCCUUCUGGAGGAAUAGUGCUGUGGCCACAAAGCAACAGAAUCUCAAGUGAAGUGGGAAAAACCCAAACAGACUCGAAGAUCUGUGAAAAUAACAAACAACAAAUGUCCUAAGUGAGACAUUCGCAAAAACACGAGGUGCGCAAGUGACCCCCUAAGCAAGCAGGUUUGAAAAAGUGACUAAAGGGGAAAACAAAACAGUGCAAUAACGUAAUACACACAAUCUAGUGUUGGGCAUAAUGGCACCUGUAUACUGACAUAUUUCUGGCUGUGCAGUUGUAUUUAAGUGUGUACCACAUGAAACAGGAAAAAAAUACAUAAUUGAAGAAUAGAAUUGUAGCAAGUA
This is a long non-coding RNA of Schistocerca gregaria, 3162 nucleotides long. RefSeq lists it as uncharacterized. The record is from RefSeq and is a predicted model, not a curated record. The transcript has 6 exons. NCBI's taxonomy places the organism in Eukaryota, Metazoa, Arthropoda, Insecta, Orthoptera, Acrididae.